Molecule: ribosomal RNA, 465 nt
Filed under: Triticum aestivum (bread wheat)
Lineage: Eukaryota; Viridiplantae; Streptophyta; Magnoliopsida; Poales; Poaceae
Description: partial small subunit ribosomal RNA
Source: RNAcentral
AUGAGAAGGAGAAGGAGAAGGAGAAGGAGAAAAAAGAAGAAGAAGAAGAAGAAGAAGAAGAAGAAGAAGGAGAAGGAGAAGGAGCAGGAGCAGGAGAAGGAGGAGGAGGAGGAGGAGGAGAAGGAGAAGGAGAAGAAGAAGCAGGAGGAGAAGCAGAAGGAGAAGGAGAAGGAGGAGAAGGAAAAGGAGGAGAAGAAGCAGAAGGAGAAGGAGAAGGAGGAGGAGGAGAAGGAAAAGGAGGAAAAUGGAGCUGAACUUUUACAUCAUCAAUAUACAACAAAACUGGAGUAUACAGCAUGCCUUUCAAGAAAAGAAAAACUAUACAUGCUGUACCAGGGCCACUCUUUGCUCUGCGAUCCAGGCUGUAGCCGUGGCUCGCCCCGCCGCCAUUGUUCAUCAAUCAAAAUUAAUAACACGACGCAUCCUCAACUUCCCCCGCUACUGAAUUUUCAAAAGCGAAACUAA